RNAcentral lists this ribosomal RNA (253 nucleotides) under uncultured bacterium. RNAcentral's name for it is "partial 16S ribosomal RNA". It matches the Rfam family "Bacterial small subunit ribosomal RNA", at positions 524 to 776 of the family's 1533-position model. The record is from RNAcentral.
UACGUAGUGGGCGAGCGUUGCCCGAAUUUACUGGGCGUAAAGCGCACGUAGGCGGCUUCGUAAGUCUGGUGUGAAAUCUCACGGCUCAACCGAGAGGCUGCACCAGAUACUGCGAAGCUCGAGGACGGGAGAGGAGAUCGGAAUUCCCGGUGUAGCGGUGAAAUGCAUUGAUAUCGGGAGGAACACCAGUGGCGAAGGAGGAUCUCGGGCCCGUUGCUGACGAUGAGGUGCGAAAGCUGGGGGAGCGAAAGGG